Molecule: ribosomal RNA, 615 nt
Filed under: Diplodia cupressi
Lineage: Eukaryota; Fungi; Ascomycota; Dothideomycetes; Botryosphaeriales; Botryosphaeriaceae
Description: eukaryotic LSU rRNA
Rfam family: 5.8S ribosomal RNA (bases 241-394)
Source: RNAcentral
AACAAGGUUUCCGUAGGUGAACCUGCGGAAGGAUCAUUACCGAGUUCUCGGGCUUCGGCUCGAAUCUCCCACCCUUUGUGAACACACCUCUGUUGCUUUGGCGGCUCUUGCCGCGUCGGAGGGGGAGGCCCCUUUGAAAAAAGAAGGCCCCCGCCGCCCCGCGCGCGCGCGCUUCCGCCAGAGGCCCUUCAAACUCCAGUCAGUAAACGUCGACGUCUGAUGAACAAGUUAAUAAACUAAAACUUUCAACAACGGAUCUCUUGGUUCUGGCAUCGAUGAAGAACGCAGCGAAAUGCGAUAAGUAAUGUGAAUUGCAGAAUUCAGUGAAUCAUCGAAUCUUUGAACGCACAUUGCGCCCCUUGGCAUUCCGAGGGGCAUGCCUGUUCGAGCGUCAUUACAACCCUCAAGCUCUGCUUGGUAUUGGGCGCCGUCCUCUCUGCGGACGCGCCUCAAAGACCUCGGCGGUGGCUGUUCAGCCCUCAAGCGUAGUAGAAUACACCUCGCUUUGGAGCGGUUGGCGUCGCCCGCCGGACGAACCUUCUGAACUUUUCUCAAGGUUGACCUCGGAUCAGGUAGGGAUACCCGCUGAACUUAAGCAUAUCAAUAAGCGGAGGA